AUGGCAAGCACAAGUUCUUCGUUCGAGAAGGAUGAGGAGCCGUCGGAUCCGCAGGUUCAGAAAAUCGCACCAGCCGAUCCGGCCGCUGGGGGCGAGCCGGCCGGAAACCCUGCAGAGCUGUCGACGACAGAGAUCAAGAAGAAGAAGAAGAAGAAGAAGAAGAAGGUGUUGAUUCAGGUGCCAGAUAGCGAUGUGAAACGUGUCCUCUCCUACAAGGAAGAAACCAUCGAUACGGAGGUGCCCGACCUAUGGGUCAGGAGAGACCCAGAACUGGCUGCGAACUUGGGCAUAAUGUGGGCCAACUUGGCCAUGCUCAAGGAGCUCACCAAGGGCCGGAUGCUAGAAGAGCAGAGAAACUAUAGGGAGCAGUUAAAAACUAAGGGUAGAGUCACCUACGAGCUUGAGGUUGACGAGGACGAUCCCAGAUUUAAAGAUGAAUCCACCACCUCUGCUGGAGCAGGACGGAGGAGAUACCGCCCGAGCGUCAUGAAAAAGCAAGAUGGACAUACCAGGAAGCUUAAUUAA
Molecule: ribosomal RNA, 525 nt
Filed under: Triticum aestivum (bread wheat)
Lineage: Eukaryota; Viridiplantae; Streptophyta; Magnoliopsida; Poales; Poaceae
Description: partial small subunit ribosomal RNA
Source: RNAcentral